RNAcentral lists this ribosomal RNA (284 nucleotides) under uncultured prokaryote. Its description in RNAcentral is "partial 16S ribosomal RNA". It matches the Rfam family "Archaeal small subunit ribosomal RNA", at positions 1066 to 1354 of the family's 1478-position model. The record is from RNAcentral.
GCCAGCGGCCGAGAGGCGCUGGGCACUCUGGGGGGACUGCCCCCGAAAGGGGGAGGAAGGAGCGGGCUACGGCAGGUCGGUAUGCCCCGAAUGCCCCGGGCCGCACGCGACGUUCAAUGGCGGGGACAGCGGGAUGCGACCCCGAAAGGGGGAGCCAAUCCCUAAACCCCGCCUCAGUAGGGAUCGAGGGUUGCAACUCGCCCUCGUGAACGCGGAAUCCCUAGUAACCGCGCGUUAACACCGCGCGGUGAAUACGUCCCCGCUCCUUGCACACACCGCCCGUC